AUCAAUAAGCGGAGGAAAAGAAACUAACAAGGAUUCCCCUAGUAACUGCGAGUGAAGCGGGAAAAGCUCAAAUUUAAAAUCUGGCGGUCUCUGACUGUCCGAGUUGUAAUCUAGAGAAGUGUUAUCCGCGCUGGACCGUGUACAAGUCUCCUGGAAUGGAGCGUCAUAGAGGGUGAGAAUCCCGUCUUUGACACGGACUGCCAGGGCUUUGUGAUGCGCUCUCAAAGAGUCGAGUUGUUUGGGAAUGCAGCUCAAAAUGGGUGGUAAAUUCCAUCUAAAGCUAAAUAUUGGCGAGAGACCGAUAGCGAACAAGUACCGUGAGGGAAAGAUGAAAAGAACUUUGGAAAGAGAGUUAAACAGUACGUGAAAUUGCUGAAAGGGAAACGCUUGAAGUCAGUCGCGUUGGCCAGGGAUCAACCUUGCUUUUGCUUGGUGUACUUUCUGGUUGACGGGUCAGCAUCAAUUUUGACUAUUGGAAAAAGGUCAAGGGAAUGUGGCAUCUUCGGAUGUGUUAUAGCCCUUGGUUGCAUACAAUGGUUGGGAUUGAGGAACUCAGCACGCCGCAAGGCCGGGUUUUAACCACGUACGUGCUUAGGAUGCUGGCAAAAUGGCUUUAAUCGACCCGUCUUGAAACACGGACCAAGGAGUCUAACAUGCCUGCGAGUGUUUGGGUGGAAAACCCGAGCGCGUAAUGAAAGUGAAAGUUGAGAUCCCUGUCGUGGGGAGCAUCGACGCCCGGACCAGACCUUUUGUGACGGUUCCGCGGUAGAGCAUGUAUGUUGGGACCCGAAAGAUGGUGAACUAUGCCUGAAUAGGGUGAAGCCAGAGGAAACUCUGGUGGAGGCUCGUAGCGAUUCUGACGUGCAAAUCGAUCGUCAAAUUUGGGUAUAGGGGCGAAAGACUAAUCGAACCAUCUAGUAGCUGGUUCCUGC
This 932-nucleotide ribosomal RNA is filed under the name Thaxterogaster iringa. RNAcentral describes it as "LSU rRNA". It matches the Rfam family "Eukaryotic large subunit ribosomal RNA", at positions 42 to 961 of the family's 3401-position model. The record is from RNAcentral. Lineage: Eukaryota; Fungi; Basidiomycota; Agaricomycetes; Agaricales; Cortinariaceae.